UGGGGAAUAUUGCACAAUGGGCGCAAGCCUGAUGCAGCCAUGCCGCGUGUGUGAAGAAGGCCUUCGGGUUGUAAAGCACUUUCAGCGAGGAGGAAGGUGGUGAACUUAAUACGUUCAUCAAUUGACGUUACUCGCAGAAGAAGCACCGGCUAACUCCGUGCCAGCAGCCGCGGUAAUACGGAGGGUGCAAGCGUUAAUCGGAAUUACUGGGCGUAAAGCGCACGCAGGCGGUUUGUUAAGUCAGAUGUGAAAUCCCCGGGCUCAACCUGGGAACUGCAUUUGAAACUGGCAAGCUAGAGUCUCGUAGAGGGGGGUAGAAUUCCAGGUGGUAGCGGUGAAAUGCGUAGAGAUCUGGAGGAAUACCGGUGGCGAAGGCGG
Molecule: ribosomal RNA, 378 nt
Filed under: uncultured bacterium
Lineage: Bacteria
Description: partial 16S ribosomal RNA
Rfam family: Bacterial small subunit ribosomal RNA
Source: RNAcentral